Molecule: ribosomal RNA, 430 nt
Filed under: Verrucomicrobiota bacterium
Lineage: Bacteria; Pseudomonadati; Verrucomicrobiota
Description: Verrucomicrobia bacterium partial 16S ribosomal RNA
Rfam family: Bacterial small subunit ribosomal RNA
Source: RNAcentral
UGGGGAAUCUUCCGCAAUGGGCGAAAGCCUGACGGAGCAACGCCGCGUGAGUGAAGACGGCCUUCGGGUUGUAAAACUCUGUGAUUCGGGACGAAAGAUAAGCAGACGAAUAAUCUGCAUAAGUGACGGUACCGAAAAAGCAAGCCACGGCUAACUACGUGCCAGCAGCCGCGGUAAUACGUAGGUGGCAAGCGUUGUCCGGAAUUAUUGGGCGUAAAGCGCGCGCAGGUGGUUUAGAAAGUCUGAUGUGAAAGCCCACGGCUCAACCGUGGAGGGUCAUUGGAAACUAAUAAACUUGAGUGCAGGAGAGAAAAGUGGAAUUCCUAGUGUGGCGGUGAAAUGCGUAGAGAUUAGGAGGAACACCGGUGGCGAAGGCGGCUUUUUGGCCUGCAACUGACACUGAGGCGCGAAAGCGUGGGGGGCAAACAGG